UGGGCAACUCUAAGGAGACUGCCGGUGACAAACCGGAGGAAGGUGGGAUGACGUCAAGUCAUCAUGGCCCUUACGGCCUGGGCUACACACGUGCUACAAUGGUACGGUACAAAGGGUUGCCAAGCCGCGAGGUGGAGCUAAUACCCAUAAAACCGAUCGUAGUCCGGAUCGCAGUCUGCAACUCGACUGCGUGAAGUCGGAAUCGCUAGUAAUCGUGAAUCAGAAUGUCACGGUGAAUACGUUCCCGGGCCUU
RNAcentral lists this ribosomal RNA (253 nucleotides) under uncultured Pseudomonas sp. RNAcentral describes it as "partial 16S ribosomal RNA". It matches the Rfam family "Bacterial small subunit ribosomal RNA", at positions 1131 to 1382 of the family's 1533-position model. Lineage: Bacteria; Pseudomonadati; Pseudomonadota; Gammaproteobacteria; Pseudomonadales; Pseudomonadaceae. The record is from RNAcentral.